AGUGAACGCUGGCGGUAGGCCUAACACAUGCAAGUCGAACGGCAGCACAGUAAGAGCUUGCUCUUACGGGUGGCGAGUGGCGGACGGGUGAGGAAUACAUCGGAAUCUACUUUUUCGUGGGGGAUAACGUAGGGAAACUUACGCUAAUACCGCAUACGACCUACGGGUGAAAGUAGGGGAUCUUCGGACCUUGCGCGAUUGAAUGAGCCGAUGUCGGAUUAGCUAGUUGGCGGGGUAAAGGCCCACCAAGGCGACGAUCCGUAGCUGGUCUGAGAGGAUGAUCAGCCACACUGGAACUGAGACACGGUCCAGACUCCUACGGGAGGCAGCAGUGGGGAAUAUUGGACAAUGGGCGCAAGCCUGAUCCAGCCAUACCGCGUGGGUGAAGAAGGCCUUCGGGUUGUAAAGCCCUUUUGUUGGGAAAGAAAAGCAGCAGGUUAAUACCUCGCUGUUCUGACGGUACCCAAAGAAUAAGCACCGGCUAACUUCGUG
This 492-nucleotide ribosomal RNA is filed under the name uncultured bacterium. RNAcentral describes it as "partial 16S ribosomal RNA". It matches the Rfam family "Bacterial small subunit ribosomal RNA", at positions 29 to 507 of the family's 1533-position model. The record is from RNAcentral.